RNAcentral lists this non-coding RNA (28 nucleotides) under Rattus norvegicus (Norway rat). The record is from RNAcentral. Lineage: Eukaryota; Metazoa; Chordata; Mammalia; Rodentia; Muridae.
UAAGGACAAUCUGAGGUCUUGGGUCAGC